This 118-nucleotide ribosomal RNA is filed under the name Lepisosteus oculatus (spotted gar). The record is from RNAcentral. Lineage: Eukaryota; Metazoa; Chordata; Actinopteri; Semionotiformes; Lepisosteidae.
ACCAGCAGCCAUAUCACCCUGCAACUCACAGCUGGCAGCCCACUGGAGCUCAGCAGGUGUGAGCCUGGCCAGUACCUGGAUGGGAGACCUGCUGGGAAACCUAAGGCUGCUGCUGGAA